CCCGCUGUCCCCAUAGCGCGGACGGUCUCUGCUGCGGUCCCUGCCCACUGGCGCCACCGGUCCAGCAGGAGCGGCCGGAGGACCGUCCACGGCGGCGCUGCGCCAGCACCCCGUCUCCACCCACUCGGGGUCUUCUCCGUGGGUGGGCUUCGGUGCUGCCACGUGACUUCCACGAAGAGCGGGGGCCCUUAGCGGAAAGCAGCGACUUGGGUGGGAUCCUGG
Molecule: long non-coding RNA, 222 nt
Filed under: Mus musculus (house mouse)
Lineage: Eukaryota; Metazoa; Chordata; Mammalia; Rodentia; Muridae
Source: RNAcentral